This 66-nucleotide transfer RNA is filed under the name Pseudococculinidae sp. MNHN-IM-2013-40847. RNAcentral's name for it is "tRNA-Val". The record is from RNAcentral. Lineage: Eukaryota; Metazoa; Mollusca; Gastropoda; Lepetellida; Pseudococculinidae.
UAAAAUAUAGCAUAAUAAAAUGUUUCUCACUUACGUUGAGAGGAUAACUGUAAAAGUUUAUUUUAA